AGGAUUCCCUAGUAACGGCGAGUGAAGAGGGAAAAGCCCAGCACCGAAGCCUGCGCAGUUUUGCUGCUAGGCAAUGUGGUGUUUAGGCCGGCUAGUAGGGCUGCCACUCCACUCGAAGUCCAGCAUUGAGUAUGGUCACUGGAUUUGGCCCAUAGAGGGUGAAAGGCCCGUACGGUGGAGGUUCAGAAAUGUAAGGCAGUUCCCCAGGCCGGCCUUAGAGUCGGGUUGUUUGCGAAUGCAGCCCAAAGAGGGUGGUAAACUCCAUCCAAGGCUAAAUACAAGCACGAGUCCGAUAGCGAACAAGUACCGUGAGGGAAAGUUGAAAAGUACUUUGAAGAGAGAGUAAACAGUACGUGAAACCGCAUGCAAGUAAACGGGUGGCGUCAAGCUGCACACCCGGAGAAUUCAGCUGGCUAGGGUGUUGUGUAUGCGCCUGGCGCAUCAAUCAGUCAGAGUAAGAUUCGGUAGUCCGCCCGGUAAGGGUGGGCCCGGCCGCAAGGUUGGGAUUUGUGUACCGGGUGUUAGCCGGAGCAAGCUACUUAUCUAUGGGACUGUCUAGCCAGUGCACUUUCUCCGUGGUGAACACCACGACCGGUGGGAGUCUGCUGUAGUCAAGUCGUGUUCAGUAGGUUCUCGUAAUCAACUGGAUGCGAUCACAGGCAAACUCAGUAAACGGCGUAGGGGUGUUUCGGCACCUUUGCGUGUUAUCGGCUACUGGUUGUCAACGGAUCGGCCCUUUGAUUGUUGUAAUCGUCACUGGGUGGUCUGGUGGACUAUGGUGGUAUGAAUAACUGUGCAAGGCAUCGGAGUUCUCGGCCUCAAAUGCAUUCUAUGCCCACAUUAUGAGUGGCGUGGGUGCCAUUACAGCCUGCCUGUUGUUGAGUCUGAUUGUCGUGUCGCCUGCGAAAAGUGGGCCCGGCAGUGGCUUGAUAUGGGAUGGGUUGUGGAUGGUAUCUCCUGUGUAGUUUGCGGUGGGCCUUACAGUCUGUGGU
RNAcentral lists this ribosomal RNA (992 nucleotides) under Tetraphyllidea gen. sp. RNAcentral describes it as "eukaryotic LSU rRNA". It matches the Rfam family "Eukaryotic large subunit ribosomal RNA", at positions 71 to 623 of the family's 3401-position model. Lineage: Eukaryota; Metazoa; Platyhelminthes; Cestoda; Tetraphyllidea. The record is from RNAcentral.